UACGGAGGGUGCGAGCGUUAAUCGGAAUUACUGGGCGUAAAGCGCAUGUAGGCGGCCGAACAAGUCAGGUGUGAAAUCCUCGGGCUUAACCUGGGAAGUGCACUUGAUACUGUCCGGCUAGAGUUUGGCAGAGGAAAGUAGAAUUCCCGGUGUAGCGGUGAAAUGCGUAGAUAUCGGGAGGAAUACCAGUGGCGAAGGCGGCUUUCGGGGCCAAUACUGACUCUGAGGUGCGAAAGCGUGGGGAGCAAACAGG
This 253-nucleotide ribosomal RNA is filed under the name uncultured bacterium. RNAcentral's name for it is "partial 16S ribosomal RNA". It matches the Rfam family "Bacterial small subunit ribosomal RNA", at positions 524 to 776 of the family's 1533-position model. The record is from RNAcentral.